Molecule: ribosomal RNA, 495 nt
Filed under: uncultured bacterium
Lineage: Bacteria
Description: partial 16S ribosomal RNA
Rfam family: Bacterial small subunit ribosomal RNA
Source: RNAcentral
GACGAACGCUGGCGGCGUGCCUAAUACAUGCAAGUAGAACGCUGAAGGAGGAGCUUGCUUCUCUGGAUGAGUUGCGAACGGGUGAGUAACGCGUAGGUAACCUGCCUGGUAGCGGGGGAUAACUAUUGGAAACGAUAGCUAAUACCGCAUAAGAGUAGAUGUUGCAUGACAUUUGCUUAAAAGGUGCAAUUGCAUCACUACCAGAUGGACCUGCGUUGUAUUAGCUAGGUGGUGGGGUAACGGAUCACCAAGGCGACGAUACAUAGCCGACCGGAGAGGGGGGUCAGCCACCCUGGGGAUGAGACCCGGCCCAAACGCCGACGGGAAGCAGCAGGAGGGGAUCUUCGGCAAUGGGCGGAAGUCUGACCGAACAACGCCGCGGGAGUGAAGAAGGUUUUCGGGUCGUAAAGCUCGGUUGUAAGGGGAGAACGAGUGUGAGAGUGGAAAGUUCACACUGUGACGGUAUCUUACCAGAAAGGGACGGCUAACUACGUG